Molecule: ribosomal RNA, 838 nt
Filed under: Salmonella enterica subsp. enterica serovar Muenchen
Lineage: Bacteria; Pseudomonadati; Pseudomonadota; Gammaproteobacteria; Enterobacterales; Enterobacteriaceae
Description: partial 23S ribosomal RNA
Rfam family: Bacterial large subunit ribosomal RNA
Source: RNAcentral
GGGUUGUGAGGUUAAGCGACUAAGCGUACACGGUGGAUGCCCUGGCAGUCAGAGGCGAUGAAGGGCGUGCUAAUCUGCGAUAAGCGCCGGUAAGGUGAUAUGAACCGUUAUAACCGGCGAUACCCGAAUGGGGAAACCCAGUGUGAUUCGUCACACUAUCAUUAACUGAAUCCAUAGGUUAAUGAGGCGAACCGGGGGAACUGAAACAUCUAAGUACCCCGAGGAAAAGAAAUCAACCGAGAUUCCCCCAGUAGCGGCGAGCGAACGGGGAGGAGCCCAGAGCCUGAAUCAGCAUGUGUGUUAGUGGAAGCGUCUGGAAAGGCGCGCGAUACAGGGUGACAGCCCCGUACACAAAAGCGUAUGUGCUGUGAGCUCGAUGAGUAGGGCGGGACACGUGGUAUCCUGUCUGAAUAUGGGGGGACCAUCCUCCAAGGCUAAAUACUCCUGACUGACCGAUAGUGAACCAGUACCGUGAGGGAAAGGCGAAAAGAACCCCGGCGAGGGGAGUGAAAAAGAACCUGAAACCGUGUACGUACAAGCAGUGGGAGCACCCUUUGGGGUGUGACUGCGUACCUUUUGUAUAAUGGGUCAGCGACUUAUAUUCUGUAGCAAGGUUAACCGAAUAGGGGAGCCGGAGGGAAACCGAGUCUUAAUUGGGCGUUAAGUUGCAGGGUAUAGACCCGAAACCCGGUGAUCUAGCCAUGGGCAGGUUGAAGGUUGGGUAACACUAACUGGAGGACCGAACCGACUAAUGUUGAAAAAUUAGCGGAUGACCUGUGGCUGGGGGUGAAAGGCCAAUCAAACCGGGAGAUAGCUGGUUCUCCCCGAAAGCUAUUUA